RNAcentral lists this long non-coding RNA (266 nucleotides) under Brassica napus (rape). Its description in RNAcentral is "long non-coding RNA (BNAP_LNC014401)". Lineage: Eukaryota; Viridiplantae; Streptophyta; Magnoliopsida; Brassicales; Brassicaceae. The record is from RNAcentral.
UUUGAGCGUUACAACAAGGUAAGAACCUGGGAUACGAAAGCUGUCGGCUAACAAAAACGGAAAGUUUCCUAAAACCCUACGACUACAAGACCUAAUUGAGUCGCAGCUCGAAUAACAAAAACGGAAAGUUUCCUAAAAUUGCUCUAAGUGCUAAGUUUGCUCUGAAAAAGUUCUCCCGUGUGCCUCUCGCCUACGACUCCUUAUAUACUCCUGCAAGGUCGGUUUUAGCUUUUCCCUUCAUGCCCUUAAGCCGUCUUAAGUGAAAA